Molecule: ribosomal RNA, 301 nt
Filed under: uncultured bacterium
Lineage: Bacteria
Description: partial 16S ribosomal RNA
Rfam family: Bacterial small subunit ribosomal RNA
Source: RNAcentral
CAGCCGCCACGGUAAUACGAAGGGGGCUAGCGUUGUUCGGAUUUACUGGGCGUAAAGCGCACGUAGGCGGACUUUUAAGUCAGGGGUGAAAUCCCGGGGCUCAACCCCGGAACUGCCUUUGAUACUGGAAGUCUUGAGUAUGGUAGAGGUGAGUGGAAUUCCGAGUGUAGAGGUGAAAUUCGUAGAUAUUCGGAAGAACACCAGUGGCGAAGGCGACACACUGGCUCAUUACUGACGCUGAGGCGCGAAAGCGUGGGGAGCAAACAGGAUUAGAUACCCCAGUAGUCCCUGUCUCUUAUAA